Molecule: long non-coding RNA, 7862 nt
Filed under: Gallus gallus (chicken)
Lineage: Eukaryota; Metazoa; Chordata; Aves; Galliformes; Phasianidae
Description: lncRNA (ENSGALG00010014087.1)
Source: RNAcentral
CUUGGUUUUCCUCCUUUAAUAAACAUGCAGACCUCUUCCUUGUGGCAACCUAGCAGAAAAGAACAUGUAAUAUCACAAGCUCUCACUGUUGCUUAGCAAGUGUUGCAACACCGCAGCUGGCUUAGACAUUUGUGGAGACCUUUUGCCUUUGCAGCUUGCACAUCCCAUCAGUCUUAAUGUCACGCCUCCGAGCUGCAGCAUUAACCCAGGCUUUCUGAUCUGAUAAGCACUGCUUUUUGCAGGGAAACGGUAUCUGAGUGAGAUCUGGUGCUGGGUGAGUCCUCUGCUGAGCCCAGGAUGUGCGCGAACUGCUGGGUAGUUCUGCACAGGUGGCUGCUUUUUUAAUUUGUCUUCUUAAUCCUCAGGGUAAGUUAUUUCUGUGGAAAGAUCGCGUAUGUCUAAAUACAACUUUCAGAAGUGUUUCUCUGCAGAAAGGGAGCGUGCAAGGCUAAUUCAGGUGGAGAGUGACCAUCUCUCCAAGACCAGGAGGUGCAUGCAAUCCACAACAUGUAUCUGUUGUUACAGGGGAGCGAGCAGCCAUCCCAGAGAGCCUCCACCCCGUGCAGGGAUGGGGCAGCUCAUUCACUGGAUUUGACUUUUGUGGAAUUUUCACUUUCAAGUUAUUCCUGACUUUAUGGAAGACGUAAAACACGAGUGAGUGAGAAGCUGCUCAAAAGGAGUGACACUUUCAUGAAGGCUAUAACUACGACAAAGGCAGACCAUUUUUUAAAGUGACACACAUAAAUGUGUCGUAUCAGCUGUUUUGUGGGAUUAGCCACACGGCUUACGGAGCCCUGUAACCUUUCCCUGAGUGUAGUCAGCAGAGGAAGGGGCAAGAAAUGUCUUAAUCCCGAUUAGCUAAGGAUUGGUGUAAACCCUGACUGCUUGCAAAAUUUCAAACUGCUGCAACUCUGCACGAUCUCGUUCAUGCCAUGCCCUCACUGAGCCUCACAAAGGUUUUCCCACUGGUAAAAUGGGCUCUGUCCCUACAGUCCCUCUGCUUUUAGCCGAUGCCCUCUGGGAAGCCCCUGCACAGCCCUCACUCAGUGGUCACUGAAACAGCUCCAAGUUAAGUCAAGGUGUGUGAUGGCUUGGAGCAACGUGAAAGGAGGAGCAUGUUGUAGAGAGUGAGCUUUCUUGCUUGCAAUUUUACGGUUAAUGUGGAAGAUUAAGUUUCUGUUUUAGUACUCCAUUCUAUUCUAUUCUAUUCUAUUCUAUUCUAGUUUCAUUUACAGCUUAGCUGGACAUCUGAGCUGAGAGUAAUGUGGAAACAUUUAUUCUGAGGGACUUUCCCCUUAAAGGCAAGCCUGUGGCAUUAAAGGUCUUGCAGGCUGUGCAGAGGGCUGGCAGCAGUUUCUGAGCAACAGCCAAAAAUAUGUUCUUGCAGCAGCAUUUCCACACUGAUGGCACUACAACAGAGUCAGCUCCACCUCGGACGGAGUCGGUGAAACCAUGCUUUGGCAGAACUCUGAACUCCAACUGCAUAGAUGCAGGGACAGCCAUCCUUUUUGCUGCCUUAUUGUUCUUUGCCCAUGGCAGUGAUAUGAAUUAUGUCCAUAUGGAAAUGCACUGAAGAAUUCUUGUCACAGCCAUGAGGGUCUAGUUUCAUGGAUUCCAUUUGUCAUUGUUACAUCACUUUGUGGUUGUUGUUGUUGGAAGGGAUGAUGAUGGAGACAAGGCUAAUUUUCAGUAAAUUUCAAAAGGGUAAGCAUUCCUUUGGCUCCUGAGGGCAAACCAGAAAGGGAUCAGGACAUCCAAAAUGACAGGAAGACGUGGUGCUGUGUGGAGGCAGUAACUUGCACACACUCUGCUUUACACAGUUCUUCCCCACGAGGACGACCAGUUGUGGGACCACAGAAGUCUCCCUGGUGCGGUGCUGUUGCUCUGCCUUGCCUCGGGCACUGUGGAAGGGGGAAGCAAAUUCUGAAAUGCACAGGAAAAUUAUAUAAAAUGGAGAAGAGAUGGGCACAGAAAGAAGUUGGCAAGAAGGAGAGGAUGGUGGUGUUUUUGCUAACAAGAUGAGUUUUCAAGGCUGUCUGCUGAGUGGCAUCAAAGAAGAGUGGAAUUUUGAAAAUGUCCCUGUGACCCAGAGAACGUGUUCCUGCCACAUCAGUGCAUUUGUGGCACUGUCAGUGCUUGCAGAAAUCUCAGUGAGGCUGCAUCCUUCUACUUAUUUCAAAAUAACCCAUCAGAAAUAAUUUGGUGCCUUGAAAUCUUUUACUCACAGGAAAAUGUAUUCUGCAAAGCACUCACUGUUACUUCUUUUCUCACUGUUUCAAGCAUGAACAGAAUUAUCUGCCCCCUUUGUACAUAGUUCUUAACAAAAAAACAAAUCCUGUUCUCAGACUUGCAGACCAGUUUUAGUGGCAGUUCUCAUGAUGGUCAGACAGGGAACACUCAUGGCACUGUGCUCACUGCUGUCAGCCACUGUUUGCCAUCCCCAGUUCUGGAGGUCUCCAAGGAGAGGGGAGCAGCAGAGCCACGUCCCCGUUGCCUGGCUCAGCGCAGCAGCUCUCAUGAGCUUGCGCCUCCUGCCCAGUGUUGGCUUUGCCAAGCCUGACCCUGCUGCCUCUCUGGAUCUGCUCCUUGGGAUUGUACCUUGGGGUUUAGGAGUUGUUAGAAACAGCUGAGAACUCCUGGCUUGGCAAUGCAUCUUCUGGUUUGAGUGUGUUCACUGGGCCGCACAUCCUAGCUGCUAGGUAUGAAAAAGAGCAUCAGACAUCAAGCAAAAUUUAUCCAGAUUUCACUUGUAUUUCCAUCUCACAUCUGAUCCAGGAAGUUUCCUUGCAUUCUUGGGCAAAGUAUGGCUGAAGUCCUGAAUAAGAUCAAUUGGCUCAAGGGACCUUACUGGCAACAAAAUUAAAAAGGGAUUUCCUUCCCUGAUUUUGAGGACCACAGAAAGGAUGAGCCUAGAAACAGAAAUUACAAGCUACAAAUCUUAGGGCCAGCCUCAAGAGAACGUCAGGUACAUUAACACAGCUUGCUAGAGAUGAAAAUCCAGCUUGAUUGCAUCCAAAUAGGGACUCAAAAUCUUGCUGACAGACCAUACCUUUAGAAGCCCCAAGUACCAGCAGCAGUGCUCUGACAACUCAGUGCACCAGUUGGAGCUGUGCAGCUCCUCUCCUUGCAAUGUAUGUCCAGAUCCUGCAGGUCGUUCUGUAUGCUCCUCAUUGUGUCAUAGGAGUAAUUAUUUCGUGUUGGUUUCUGCUGCCAUCCAUGGUAUAUAUGGUUUUCCUUUUCCUUAUGGAAAAAGAAUUCCUUCUGAGGAAGUCUGUCUUAACUUCUAAUGUAUGCAAAAUUUCAGAUGCAUAGCACUGUGAAUAGUGCCAGUCUGCUCAUCUUACUCCUGCUAACAUUAGUAAAUCUAUUCAUGCAGGUAAACAAGAUUCAUUUUAAGUGGGUCAAAUAUUUUUUGUCGAAAAGAAAAUGAAGAUAUUCAGAGGCCUCUCAGAUUGACAUGAGGUCUCGAGCGAUCAGUCCCUCCCUUGCUGCUUGCAGGUCACACAGGAGGGCAGUGGGGGAUACUGAUGAGUGCAGUGUUCCUUCAAGGCUCAGUUGGAAAACUUCCUCUCUGAAAACUGAGGGAACUCAUGCUUGACGAAAUGCCCUAGCAGCCAGGGAAGCUCAGCCAAACUGCUGCAUCUGCUGUCUGGAGAACACAAGAAGAACACGUGUGUGUUUGGCAAGCUGAAAGGUGAGUGACAAGAAUUACCAGCAAGCGUAGGAGCCUGAGAACACUCCUAAUUGUGUGGAGCUAGGAUCAAAUUUGGGAAAGACUACCUAUACAAAACAUACACAGCUGAGAGAAAAAUCUGGACGGAAAAAAAUCCUGGCAAGGGUAACAUACAGCAACACAUACGUAUGGACAAAAAGCUGAACAUCAAACAGCAGUGUGCUCUUGCAGCCCAGAAGGCCAACUGCACUUUGGGCAGCAUCAACAGAGCAAUGGCAGCAGGGAGAGGGAGGGGAUUGUUCCCCUCUGCUCUGUCCUCAUGAGGCCCCACCUGCAGCACUAUGUCCAGAACUGGGGACCCCAGUUCAAGAAAGAUGUGGAGCUGUUGGACUGGGUCCAGAGUAGGGCACAAAGAUGAUCAGAGGACUGGAGCACCUCUCCUGUGAAGAAAGGCUGAGAGAAUUGGGCUUGUUCUGUCUAGAGAAGACAAGGUUGGGGGGAGACCUCAUUUUGAUCUUUCAGCACCUAAAGGGAGCUUACAAACAGGAGGGAGACUGACUUUUUUACAUGGUCUGAUAGUGACAGGACAAGGGGGAAUGGUUUUAAACUAAAAGAGGGGAUAUUUAGAUUAGAUAUUAGGAGGAAACUACUUACUCAGAGGGUGGUGAGGCACAAAUACAGGCUGCCCAAAGCAGCUGAGGAUGCCCCAUCCUUGGAGGCAUUCAAGGCCAGGCUGGAGGGGCCCUGGGCAGCCUGAGCUGGUGGGCUGUAACCCUGCCUGCGGGAGGUGGUCUCUAAUGUCCCUUCCAAUCCAAGCCAUUCUGUGACUCUGUGAUUCCACUCCAGAAAAGACUACCUCUGUUCUGUAACCACUAGUAACAGCACGAUACACAUUGCUUUAACUUUCAUCAGAAGGCCUGGAUGGCACACACAACACUUCAUCUCACUCCAGCACUUGGACUGCUGCAUUUUUAAGUUGAUGAUAGACUUAUCACUGUUGAUUAGUUCACUCUUCUGGGAACAGAUGCCUCCUGUUUGUCCAUAAAGGAAAACUUCAUGCCUCUUCACCAAUCUAAAGAAACUCAUAGUGAGAAAAGAUAAAUUUCACAGGGGCCGAACCCUGAGCCACUGGCUGAUCCUGCAGGUUUUCAUGAUCAUCUAUGGUACUUGGACAACUAGAAUGUGAAUGAUCAACACACAAUUAAUCUCUACUGCAUAACAAGUCCAAGUUGUUUCUAACUUGGGCUGAGCUUAGGCCUAUUUCCUGAUAGUAGGAAGUCCAUGUUCUGUUGCAGGUACUUAAAGCUUUUGAAUCUUCUUGCUGUUUACUAGUUAAUACAGCGUAUGCAAGCAGGUCACUGGACUCCACAGUAACGCUCAUAUUUGAAUAUUCUCUUUGAUAGUCCUUAUUCAGCUGGUAAGAUAUCUAGUUCACAGACAUUUUCUUUUAGUCUCUGGUCAUCCACUCUAGGUUUUCAUAGAGGUUCAAUACCAUUCUAGCAGUGGACUGAUAAAAGGCUAUAUCUGCAAAACUGUGCUUAUAGCAUAUUGCUAGAUACUCCUAAAUCAAGACGGUUUUUUUGUUGUUGUUACUUCUUUUUACUUUUGAUCUUUCUAAAACAACCAAAGUUCAGUGUUACUUAUUUGUGAUACCCUUAUGUAGUGCUUUGAGCCACUGUUUCCAUUAAUUUUCCAUGCACCAGAUCACCUCACAUGCCUCUGUAGAAGCUAUGUCAGUCAAAACAAUGAGCCGAUAUAUACUCAUUUUUUAACCUUUUCUUUGUUCAAAUGACUUAGCUUGAGUAUGAGAUGUAUUCUGUAAAUAUUCACUGUAUAAACCAGGCUAAUCCAAGACCAGAUCUGAUUUCUGCUGCAGCUAUUUUGAUCCAGCAAAUAAUUCAGCAAACAUAGUUGAGAGGCGACUGCUGUGUGUGCUAAAGCAGACAUGUCUUUCCUCCCACCACCUCUAGGCUUUUAAUAAUUAUGAAUCAUUCCUCCAGCUGCAUGUCAGUGUUUCUUUCCACUGGACAGGAACAGCGAUAGCUCUGAACUAUGCAGCAAUGAGAAAGGUACAAAGAUUCGAGUACCAAACGGACAGUACUGCCUAAAGGUCCUAUUUAUACAGACAGUUCUACUACACAGAGGCUGCUGGAACUCUAGUACUUCUAUAGCACAGUGGGAACAAGGGGUCCCAUCAUCUGUCACUGUGCUCAUUUUCCUUUCAUCCCGUGCCUGCCCUGCGCACAGCCAUUCCUCCCCUACGCAGCUCAGACCAAAAUGAAAUCUUGACUGCUUCUUUCCUCCUACUGCAAUGGCUCGGUGCUCCUGCUGGACAGCUACAGAUUGCUAACUGUUCCUGGCACCGGAUGCCUCCGCAUGGACGUGAAGCCAAGAAGCCAAGAGAGAAACCGUAUUGCCAAGUCCAAGCACUCUGAAAUUGCAGUAACCUUUUCCCUACACAAAAAGUGGGUUAUUAUUUGUAUUUAUCCUUUGUUGCUUCAUGUUUUCAGCAAACAUAUUUCAAACUCUUCUCUAUGGUCAUGAUUUUAUUCUCGAUGGAAGUUGAAAUUCUUGCAUACCCAUACAAUUCCUGCACCUGAUGCUUUAAGAAAAAACACCGAUGACUGCAGGAGUUGGCAGCAGAGAGGGAAGAGGAAGAGGAGACGGAGGAGGAAAUAAUCUCAUUCUCUCACCUGCAGGAGCGGAAUCUGAUCCCCUGCUGAUGUCUGGUGAUAGCGCAUCGGAGAGGGAAAGGAAAUGGGAGAACCAGAGGAGAGAAGAGGUAGCCCAUAGGAAGACAUAAAGAGAAGGAAAUACUUUGGGUUAGUGGAGAAGGUCAUCAGGCUACGCAGCCUUCAGACAUCUACCCAAAUCAGUUUGAAACUCCCGACCACACGGUUACCUCACCGCUGAGUGUUUUUUGCGUUCCAAAAUGAGAGGUGGGGAAGGGUGUCCUUCCUGCUCCUGUUUAUCUGAGUCACAGGGAUAAAGCCUAAUUUUGUCUAUAUCCAACUGUCAGCAGUGCGGGAAACAACACAUGUGAAGGCAGAAAAGGAAACGUGGUGUAAGCAAUUGGAAGUGAGGGCUGUACCUGCCUUUUGUGCUCUGCUGCCUUUUCAUCUUACAGAACACAACGUGAGCUGUUACUCUAGUAAUCCAUGAAGUACAUUGUGCAUGCGGAGCCACGCAAGGAUACUAAUUGAAGGAUUAAAACCGAGUGUAGACAAAUGUUAAUGAAGUGAAGGAACUUACUGGACUUUUUACGUUCUGCCUGUGUGUACAAAGCAGCGUUAGCUCUGUGCAGUGCAAUGCUAAGACUAUCUACGCAUUUGAGCUGUGACAUCAGUUUUCUAUUUCUGCGUUAUUAUCACCAGUGAAAGUGGAAACACUGCAUAAAGUGUGGGUCCUCAUUCUGUCUGCAGUUCACUCUUGAACAGUGUGCCACUUCUUUUUGUUUUUUCAGUAGACUGAGAGGAUGAAGUUUAUGUUUCUGUUUUCAAGUGUUGCUUCCUCCACGAGCAGGAAAUCCUCCCUCCCUCCAUAUGUUUUUAAAAUAGCUGACAGUGCCCCCAAUUAAUUGCAUAUCAAACUGAACUUCUUUUUCCUGGCCUACGUGACUGUCCUCCCCUCCUCAACAGCCAGCCUGUUUUCAUGCGCACGGUAGGAAUAUUAAAAACAUCCCCUACCUAGCAAAACAAGAACUCCUCUGGGAAGGUGCAUGUAGAUGAAAUGGCAGCAACUGAUGUGGCAGUCACAUCCCUCAUGUACUGAUGAGACAUCUUCAGCUAUUGCCAUCGCAAGAUAAGAACACAGAUAAAAUAAAUAGUUCUAUGCAGAACUACUUUUGACCUAUUUUUUUUACUGUUUCUUUCAUCAUCACUAAACUCCUUCAAACUUUAAACCAAGCCCUUUUCCUAGCUUAAAUCCCUUCCAAAAAUACAUUAAAAAAAGCCUAUAUUCCCUAAGAAUAUAGCAGUCUGAAUGGCUCCUCUGGUUAUAUCCCUAUAACCCUUGUCCUCCCUUCUAAUCCUUCCUCCCUUUUUCUCUGUUAAUGAUUCACAUUUAUGGCACCCUUGUCCAGAUCUGCCCAAAUCUCUCUUAUCUCUCUUCCUAUAUCUCUACAGCUUUCUUUCUUUUUUUUUUCUUUAGUGUGUGGGUUAUAUUUUGGGUUUUUUGGUGAUUCCUUUCC